This 108-nucleotide small RNA is filed under the name Salix viminalis (osier). The record is from RNAcentral. Lineage: Eukaryota; Viridiplantae; Streptophyta; Magnoliopsida; Malpighiales; Salicaceae.
UACAACUUGAUUCAUUCAAGGAUGCAAAUGAGUUGUUUGGUAUUGAGGCUUCCAAAACAGGAAGGGAUAACAAAAACUCCAGCUAAAUGGUGGGAUUUUUAUUGUAGU